GUGUGUGUGUAUGGACUCAGCAGUCUGUGUGUGUGUGUGUGUGUAUGGACUCAGCAGUUUGUGUGUGUAUGGACUCAGCAGUCUGUGUGUGUGUGUGUGUGUGUGUGUGUAUGGACUCGGCAGUCUGUGUGUGCAUGGACUCGGCAGUCUGUGUGUGUGUAUAUGUGUGUAUGGACUCAGCAGUCUGUGUGUGUAUGGACUCAGCAGUCUGUGUGUGUAUGGACUCAGCAGUCUGUGUGUGUAUGGACUCAGCAGAGUCUGUAUGUGUGUACGGACUCAGCAGAGUCUGUAUGUGUGUACGGACUCAGCAGAGUCUGUAUGUGUGUACGGACUCAGCAGAGUCUGUAUGUGUGUACGGACUCAGCAGAGUCUGUGUGUACGGACUCAGCAGAGUCUGUGUGUACGGACUCAGCAGAGUCUGUGUGUACGGACUCAGCAGAGUCUGUGUGUACGGACUCAGCAGAGUCUGUGUGUGUGUACGGACUCAGCAGAGCCUGUGUGUGUGUACGGACUCAGCAGAGUCUGUGUGUGUGUGUACGGACUCAGCAGAGUCUGUGUGUGUGUGUACGGACUCAGCAGAGUCUGUGUGUGUGU
Non-coding RNA from Pelobates cultripes (western spadefoot toad), 594 nucleotides. Lineage: Eukaryota; Metazoa; Chordata; Amphibia; Anura; Pelobatidae. The record is from the annotation of a GenBank genome assembly.